This 492-nucleotide ribosomal RNA is filed under the name uncultured bacterium. RNAcentral describes it as "partial 16S ribosomal RNA". It matches the Rfam family "Bacterial small subunit ribosomal RNA", at positions 29 to 507 of the family's 1533-position model. The record is from RNAcentral.
AGUGAACGCUGGCGGUAGGCCUAACACAUGCAAGUCGAACGGCAGCACAGUAAGAGCUUGCUCUUACGGGUGGCGAGUGGCGGACGGGUGAGGAAUACAUCGGAAUCUACUUUUUCGUGGGGGAUAACGUAGGGAAACUUACGCUAAUACCGCAUACGACCUACGGGUGAAAGCAUGGGAUCUUCUGACCUUGCGCGAUUGAAUGAGCCGAUGUCGGAUUAGCUAGUUGGCGGGGUAAAGGCCCACCAAGGCGACGAUCCGUAGCUGGUCUGAGAGGAUGAUCAGCCACACUGGAACUGAGACACGGUCCAGACUCCUACGGGAGGCAGCAGUGGGGAAUAUUGGACAAUGGGCGCAAGCCUGAUCCAGCCAUACCGCGUGGGUGAAGAAGGCCUUCGGGUUGUAAAGCCCUUUUGUUGGGAAAGAAAAGCAGCAGGUUGAUACCCCGCUGUUCUGACGGUACCCAAAGAAUAAGCACCGGCUAACUUCGUG